AGCAGCCGCCGCGGUAACACAGAGGGUGCGAGCGUUAAUUGGAUUUACUGGGCGUAAAGCGUGCGUAGGCGGCUUCUUAAGUCGGAUGUGAAAUCCCUGAGCUUAACUUAGGAAUUGCAUUCGAUACUGGGAAGCUAGAGUAUGGGAGAGGAUGGUAGAAUUCCAGGUGUAGCGGUGAAAUGCGUAGAGAUCUGGAGGAAUACCGAUGGCGAAGGCAGCCAUCUGGCCUAAUACUGACGCUGAGGUACGAAAGCAUGGGGAGCAAACAGGAUUAGAUACCCCUGUAGUCCCUGUCUCUUAUAC
This 303-nucleotide ribosomal RNA is filed under the name uncultured bacterium. Its description in RNAcentral is "partial 16S ribosomal RNA". It matches the Rfam family "Bacterial small subunit ribosomal RNA", at positions 507 to 807 of the family's 1533-position model. The record is from RNAcentral.